CCCUUAGAUGUUCUGGGCCGCACGCGCGCUACACUGAUGCAUUCAACGAGCCUAGCCUUGACCGAGAGGUCCGGGUAAUCUUUGAAACUGCAUCGUGAUGGGGCUAGAUUAUUGCAAUUAUUAAUCUUCAACGAGGAAUGCCUAGUAAGCGUGAUUCAUCAAAUCGCGUUGAUUACGUCCCUGCCCUUUGUACACACCGCCCGUCGCUCCUACCGAUUGAGUGUGUUGGUGAGGAGUUUGGAUUGGCCUCGGGAGGUGGUUCGCCACCGUCCGUAGCUGAGAAGUUCUCCAAACCGCCCCACUUAGAGGAAGGAGAAGUCGUAACA
This 326-nucleotide ribosomal RNA is filed under the name uncultured eukaryote. Its description in RNAcentral is "partial 18S ribosomal RNA". It matches the Rfam family "Eukaryotic small subunit ribosomal RNA", at positions 1470 to 1796 of the family's 1831-position model. The record is from RNAcentral.